AAAAGGCAGCAUGGAAAACUGCUAAUGCCGUGAUCUUUAGAGCACUGCAGGCAGAUGUCAGCUUUGGUGAGCUAUUUCCUUCUGCAAACAAUCUGGUCGAUGAGCUGUGUUUGGCUGUCUACAGUGCACAGAACACACAGCCCUGGGAAAACAUUAAGGGUUAAAGUGACUGAGGUCACCACUCUACUGAUGACUAUUUUUGUCACUAAUAAAAUGCCAGAGAGCCACUAACAACCCAAAAGGACAGCAGCCCACAGACUUGAAUUCCUGCAUUUCUUGCUGCUUCCAGAUGAAUGGAGCAAUGGUGCUGAAAACGUCAGGACCAGGAGUUUUAACGGAGAGUUCCCACUGCAAUAUCAGAGACUCCUCAGGACAGCCACAAACUCAACCAGUGCAGCUUCACUGCACUCCUGUUUUAACCUCUCCUGGAGUCUCAUGACAAAAUCAAGCUCAUGUUGGCUGUAGAUGGAGCAACACCAGAUAACAAACCAGUUCAAAAGGGAGUAGGUGAACUUACCCCCUCAUGGUACCUCAUUAUGAUAAUACUGAGAAGAGGGGAAAAAAAAAAAAGAAAAAACAAACACCAGAAAAAUCCAGUCUGAUCACCUUUGAAUAAAGGACUAUAUACAAAACACUUCUCUUCCUCAAGACAGGAUCUCUCUACAGGAUCCUCAUUUCGUCCUGCCUAUUGUAAAAAAAAAAAAAAAAAGAAAGUAGGGGGGAAAAAAAAG
This is a long non-coding RNA of Hirundo rustica (Barn swallow), 731 nucleotides long. RefSeq lists it as uncharacterized. The transcript is spliced from 3 exons. Lineage: Eukaryota; Metazoa; Chordata; Aves; Passeriformes; Hirundinidae. The record is from RefSeq and is a predicted model, not a curated record.